UGGCGGAGGAGGUCAACAGAACGUUAUUGUUGAUAACAGCCGCGGAGGCGGAAGACAAUGGGGUGGUAGACAACAGUUCGGAGGCGGCCGACGACAGUUCGGGGGCGGACGACGAAAGUUCGGAGGCGGCCGAAGACAAUUCGGAGGCGGUCGACGACAAUUCGGAGGUCGUCGAAAUAGGUGGUAGACAAAAGUUUUGAUCCAACAGUCAUUUUUGUUGAUGAUUAAAACAGUCCUGGCGAUACAGCUGAAAACCAUCUACAAAUGUAUAUAUACCAUAUUGGUGAUAGAGACAGCAGAAUAACGUUUUUUUAAAUUGUAUAUGUUUAUAUAUCUUUAUUUUGAUACUAUGUAUUUUUCCAAUAAAGACUUUGAAUAAAAUCGA
Molecule: long non-coding RNA, 385 nt
Organism: Mytilus californianus (California mussel)
Lineage: Eukaryota; Metazoa; Mollusca; Bivalvia; Mytilida; Mytilidae
Exons: 2
Source: RefSeq, a predicted model, not a curated record